AACGCGAAGAACCUUACCUGGUCUUGACAUCCACAGAACUUUCCAGAGAUGGAUUGGUGCCUUCGGGAACUGUGAGACAGGUGCUGCAUGGCUGUCGUCAGCUCGUGUUGUGAAAUGUUGGGUUAAGUCCCGCAACGAGCGCAACCCUUAUCCUUUGUUGCCAGCGGUUAGGCCGGGAACUCAAAGGAGACUGCCAGUGAUAAACUGGAGGAAGGUGGGGAUGACGUCAAGUCAUCAUGGCCCUUACGACCAGGGCUACACACGUGCUACAAUGGCAUAUACAAAGAGAAGCGACCUCGCGAGAGCAAGCGGACCUCAUAAAGUAUGUCGUAGUCCGGAUUGGAGUCUGCAACUCGACUCCAUGAAGUCGGAAUCGCUAGUAAUCGUAGAUCAGAAUGCUACGGUGAAUACGUUCCCGGGCCUUGUACACACCG
RNAcentral lists this ribosomal RNA (434 nucleotides) under uncultured Klebsiella sp. RNAcentral describes it as "bacterial SSU rRNA". It matches the Rfam family "Bacterial small subunit ribosomal RNA", at positions 958 to 1392 of the family's 1533-position model. The record is from RNAcentral. Lineage: Bacteria; Pseudomonadati; Pseudomonadota; Gammaproteobacteria; Enterobacterales; Enterobacteriaceae.